UAGGAAGAUGUCUGCUAGGUGUGUUGUGCCCUUGAGCGCGUUGUACUUGCUGGAGCUAACGCGUUAAGUACACCGCCUGGGGAGUACGGCCGCAAGGUUAAAACUCCAAUGAAUUGACGGGGGCCCGCACAAGCGGUGGGACAUGUGGUUUUAUUUCAUGCAACGCGAAAAACCUUACCUACUCUUGACAUCCAUCUGACUUUCCUAAGAUGGAUUGGUCUCUUCGGGACUCUGAGACAGGUGCUGCAUGGCUGUCGUCAGCUCGUGUUGUGAGAGUUGGUUAAGUCCCGCAACGAGCGCACCCUUAUCCUUUGUUGCCAUCGGUUAGGCCGGCAACUCAAAGUAAACUGCGGUGAUAAACUGGAGGAAGGGGGGGAUGACGUCAAUUCAUCAUGGCCCCUUACAACUGGGGCUACACACGUGCUACAAUGGACGCAUACAAAGAGCUGCGACACUCGCGAGGUGGAGCUGACCUCAUAAAGUGCUUCUCAGUUCGGAUUGGAGGCUGCAACUCGACUCCAUGAAGUCGGAAUCGCUAGUAAUCGUGGAUCAGAAUGCCACGGUGAAUACGUUCCCGGGCCUUGUACACACCGCCCGUCACACCAUGAGAGUGUGUUGCACCCGAAGUCGGUGGCUUAACCUUCAUGAAGGCGCUUACCACUUGGGGAAUCAAGAAUGGGGGUAAAUUCAAAAGGGGGACCAAAAA
RNAcentral lists this ribosomal RNA (706 nucleotides) under Salmonella enterica. RNAcentral's name for it is "bacterial SSU rRNA". It matches the Rfam family "Bacterial small subunit ribosomal RNA", at positions 801 to 1506 of the family's 1533-position model. The record is from RNAcentral. Lineage: Bacteria; Pseudomonadati; Pseudomonadota; Gammaproteobacteria; Enterobacterales; Enterobacteriaceae.